CGCGUAGCGAAAGCGAAUGCUUUGGGGUGGGGUGACUGCGUACCUUUUGUAUAAUGGGUCAGCGACUUAUAUUCUGUAGCAAGGUUAACCGAAUAGGGGAGCCGGAGGGAAACCGAGUCUUAAUUGGGCGUUAAGUUGCAGGGUAUAGACCCGAAACCCGGUGAUCUAGCCAUGGGCAGGUUGAAGGUUGGGUAACACUAACUGGAGGACCGAACCGACUAAUGUUGAAAAAUUAGCGGAUGACCUGUGGCUGGGGGUGAAAGGCCAAUCAAACCGGGAGAUAGCUGGUUCUCCCCGAAAGCUAUUUAGGUAGCGCCUCGUGAAUUCAUCUCCGGGGGUAGAGCACUGUUUCGGCUAGGGGGCCAUCCCGGCUUACCAACCCGAUGCAAACUGCGAAUACCGGAGAAUGUUAUCACGGGAGACACACGGCGGGUGCUAACGUCCGUCGUGAAGAGGGAAACAACCCAGACCGCCAGCUAAGGUCCCAAAGUCAUGGUUAAGUGGGAAACGAUGUGGGAAGGCCCAGACAGCCAGGAUGUUGGCUUAGAAGCAGCCAUCAUUUAAAGAAAGCGUAAUAGCUCACUGGUCGAGUCGGCCUGCGCGGAAGAUGUAACGGGGCUAAACCAUGCACCGAAGCUGCGGCAGCGACACUGUGUGUUGUUGGGUAGGGGAGCGUUCUGUAAGCCUGCGAAGGUGGCCUGUGAGGGUUGCUGGAGGUAUCAGAAGUGCGAAUGCUGACAUAAGUAACGAUAAAGCGGGUGAAAAGCCCGCUCGCCGGAAGACCAAGGGUUCCUGUCCAACGUUAAUCGGGGCAGGGUGAGUCGACCCCUAAGGCGAGGCCGAAAGGCGUAGUCGAUGGGAAACGGGUUAAUAUUCCCGUACUUGGUGUUACUGCGAAGGGGGGACGGAGAAGGCUAUGUUGGCCGGGCGACGGUUGUCCCGGUUUAAGCGUGUAGGUGUGUGUUCCAGGUAAAUCCGGUUCACUUUAACACUGAGGCGUGACGACGAGGCACUACGGUGCUGAAGCAACAAAUGCCCUGCUUCCAGGAAAAGCCUCUAAGCAUCAGGUAACAUCAAAUCGUACCCCAAACCGACACAGGUGGUCAGGUAGAGAAUACCAAGGCGCUUGAGAGAACUCGGGUGAAGGAACUAGGCAAAAUGGUGCCGUAACUUCGGGAGAAGGCACGCUGACACGUAGGUGAAGUGAUUUACUCAUGGAGCUGAAGUCAGUCGAAGAUACCAGCUGGCUGCAACUGUUUAUUAAAAACACAGCACUGUGCAAACACGAAAGUGGACGUAUACGGUGUGACGCCUGCCCGGUGCCGGAAGGUUAAUUGAUGGGGUCAGCGCAAGCGAAGCUCCUGAUCGAAGCCCCGGUAAACGGCGGCCGUAACUAUAACGGUCCUAAGGUAGCGAAAUUCCUUGUCGGGUAAGUUCCGACCUGCACGAAUGGCGUAAUGAUGGCCAGGCUGUCUCCACCCGAGACUCAGUGAAAUUGAACUCGCUGUGAAGAUGCAGUGUACCCGCGGCAAGACGGAAAGACCCCGUGAACCUUUACUAUAGCUUGACACUGAACAUUGAGCCUUGAUGUGUAGGAUAGGUGGGAGGCUUUGAAGUGUGGACGCCAGUCUGCAUGGAGCCGACCUUGAAAUACCACCCUUUAAUGUUUGAUGUUCUAACGUGGACCCGUUACCCGGGUUGCGGACAGUGUCUGGUGGGUAGUUUGACUGGGGCGGUCUCCUCCUAAAGAGUAACGGAGGAGCACGAAGGUUGGCUAAUCCUGGUCGGACAUCAGGAGGUUAGUGCAAUGGCAUAAGCCAGCUUGACUGCGAGCGUGACGGCGCGAGCAGGUGCGAAAGCAGGUCAUAGUGAUCCGGUGGUUCUGAAUGGAAGGGCCAUCGCUCAACGGAUAAAAGGUACUCCGGGGAUAACAGGCUGAUACCGCCCAAGAGUUCAUAUCGACGGCGGUGUUUGGCACCUCGAUGUCGGCUCAUCACAUCCUGGGGCUGAAGUAGGUCCCAAGGGUAUGGCUGUUCGCCAUUUAAAGUGGUACGCGAGCUGGGUUUAGAACGUCGUGAGACAGUUCGGUCCCUAUCUGCCGUGGGCGCUGGAGAACUGAGGGGGGCUGCUCCUAGUACGAGAGGACCGGAGUGGACGCAUCACUGGUGUUCGGGUUGUCAUGCCAAUGGCACUGCCCGGUAGCUAAAUGCGGAAGAGAUAAGUGCUGAAAGCAUCUAAGCACGAAACUUGCCCCGAGAUGAGUUCUCCCUGAGACUUAGAGUCUCCUGAAGGAACGUUGAAGACGACGACGUUGAUAGGCCGGGUGUGUAAGCGCAGCGAUGCGUUGAGCUAACCGGUACUAAUGAACCGUGAGGCUUAACCUUACAACGCCGAAG
Molecule: ribosomal RNA, 2396 nt
Filed under: Salmonella enterica subsp. enterica serovar Enteritidis
Lineage: Bacteria; Pseudomonadati; Pseudomonadota; Gammaproteobacteria; Enterobacterales; Enterobacteriaceae
Description: bacterial LSU rRNA
Rfam family: Bacterial large subunit ribosomal RNA
Source: RNAcentral